RNAcentral lists this unclassified non-coding RNA (26 nucleotides) under Mus musculus (house mouse). RNAcentral's name for it is "oocyte_clustered_small_RNA13099". Lineage: Eukaryota; Metazoa; Chordata; Mammalia; Rodentia; Muridae. The record is from RNAcentral.
UAGCUUCUCCCACCGUUACUUGCUAA